This 276-nucleotide ribosomal RNA is filed under the name uncultured soil bacterium. RNAcentral describes it as "partial 16S ribosomal RNA". It matches the Rfam family "Bacterial small subunit ribosomal RNA", at positions 26 to 302 of the family's 1533-position model. The record is from RNAcentral.
AGAUUGAACGCUGGCGGCAGGCCUAACACAUGCAAGUCGAGCGGCAGCACGGGUACUUGUACCUGGUGGCGAGCGGCGGACGGGUGAGUAAUGCCUAGGAAUCUGCCUGGUAGUGGGGGAUAACGCUCGGAAACGGACGCUAAUACCGCAUACGUCCUACGGGAGAAAGCAGGGGACCUUCGGGCCUUGCGCUAUCAGAUGAGCCUAGGUCGGAUUAGCUAGUUGGUGAGGUAAUGGCUCACCAAGGCGACGAUCCGUAACUGGUCUGAGAGGAUG